GUGCCAGCAGCCGCGGUAAGACGAACUGCCCAAACGUUGUUCGGAAUCACUGGGCUUAAAGGGCGCGUAGGCGGCAGAUCAAGUCAGGGGUGAAAUCCGGCAGCUCAACUGUCGAAGUGCCUUUGAUACUGAUUUGCUCGAGGGAGAUAGGGGUCUGCGGAACUUCUGGUGGAGCGGUGAAAUGCGUUGAUAUCAGAAGGAACGCCGGUGGCGAAAGCGGCGGACUGGAUCUCUUCUGACGCUGAGGCGCGAAAGCUAGGGGAGCAAACGGGAUUAGAUACCCCUGUAGUCC
Molecule: ribosomal RNA, 292 nt
Filed under: uncultured bacterium
Lineage: Bacteria
Description: partial 16S ribosomal RNA
Rfam family: Bacterial small subunit ribosomal RNA
Source: RNAcentral